GGGGUUGUAGCUCAGUGGAAGAGCAUCUUCUGGGCAUGCAGAAGGUCCCGGGUUCAACCCCCAGCAUCUUCA
This 72-nucleotide transfer RNA is filed under the name Sphaerodactylus townsendi. RNAcentral describes it as "tRNA-Ala". It matches the Rfam family "tRNA". Rfam says of the family: Transfer RNA (tRNA) molecules are approximately 80 nucleotides in length. Their secondary structure includes four short double-helical elements and three loops (D, anti-codon, and T loops). Further hydrogen bonds mediate the characteristic L-shaped molecular structure. tRNAs have two regions of fundamental functional importance: the anti-codon, which is responsible for specific mRNA codon recognition, and the 3' end, to which the tRNAs corresponding amino acid is attached (by aminoacyl-tRNA synthetases). tRNAs cope with the degeneracy of the genetic code in two manners: having more than one tRNA (with a specific anti-codon) for a particular amino acid; and 'wobble' base-pairing, i.e. permitting non-standard base-pairing at the 3rd anti-codon position. The record is from RNAcentral. Lineage: Eukaryota; Metazoa; Chordata; Lepidosauria; Squamata; Sphaerodactylidae.